Molecule: ribosomal RNA, 253 nt
Filed under: uncultured bacterium
Lineage: Bacteria
Description: partial 16S ribosomal RNA
Rfam family: Bacterial small subunit ribosomal RNA
Source: RNAcentral
UACGAAGGGGGCUAGCGUUGCUCGGAAUGACUGGGCGUAAAGAGCGCGUAGGCGGCUCAUACAGUCAGAUGUGAAAUUCCUGGGCUUAACCUGGGGGCUGCAUUUGAUACGUGUGGGCUUGAGUGGGGAAGAGGGUCGUGGAAUUCCCAGUGUAGAGGUGAAAUUCGUAGAUAUUGGGAAGAACACCGGUGGCGAAGGCGGCGACCUGGUCCUUGACUGACGCUGAGGCGCGAAAGCGUGGGGAGCAAACAGG